This is a non-coding RNA of Plectropomus leopardus (leopard coralgrouper), 280 nucleotides long. Lineage: Eukaryota; Metazoa; Chordata; Actinopteri; Perciformes; Serranidae. The record is from RefSeq and is a predicted model, not a curated record.
GCGAGGAUAGCGUUCCUGCAGGGCGAGAGGAAAGGUCAGGAGAACCUGAAGAACGACCUGGUUAGAAGAAUAAAAAUGUUAGAAUACGCUUUAAAACAGGAAAGAGCAAAAUACCACAAAUUAAAAUACGGAACAGAGUUAAACCAAGGAGAGAUGAAGAUGCCAAGCUUCGAAUCAGACACCAAAGACUCAGAAGUCUCUGCUGUUCCCGCCAACAGUCAGCUCACCUGGAAACAAGGAAGACAACUACUCAGACAGUAAGAGCACUGACAACAUAACG